UACGGAGGGUGCGAGCGUUAAUCGGAAUCACUGGGCGUAAAGCGUCUGUAGGUGGUGAUGCAAGUCACUGGUGCAAAACUCUGGCUCAACCGGAGGAAAGCCAGUGAAACUGCAUGACUAGAGUGUGGGAGAGGUAGAAGGAAUUCCCUGAGUAGCGGUGAAAUGCGUAGAUACAGGGAAGAACACCGGAGGCGAAAGCGUUCUACUGGAACACAACUGACACUGAGAGACGAAAGCUAGGGGAGCGAAUGGG
RNAcentral lists this ribosomal RNA (253 nucleotides) under uncultured bacterium. RNAcentral's name for it is "partial 16S ribosomal RNA". It matches the Rfam family "Bacterial small subunit ribosomal RNA", at positions 524 to 776 of the family's 1533-position model. The record is from RNAcentral.